This 1261-nucleotide long non-coding RNA is filed under the name Pan troglodytes (chimpanzee). RNAcentral describes it as "long non-coding RNA NONPTRT017702". Lineage: Eukaryota; Metazoa; Chordata; Mammalia; Primates; Hominidae. The record is from RNAcentral.
CCAUGAUGCCAGGGUCCCUAAUCAUGGACUCCCCAAGAGCUGGCACCCACCAGGGCCCCCUAGAUGCAGAGACAGAGGUCGGUGCUGACCGCUGCACGUCGACUGCCUACCAGGAGCAGAGGCCCCAGGUGGAGCAAGUUGGCAAACAGGCUCCUCUCUCCCCAGGUAUGGGGGUCCUCAGCGGCGGGGUCCCCGGGUGAAGGAGGAAGCUGCUGGUGCAUGGGUGCCGGCUGCCCUCCACCCACAGGGCCCACUUUGGUGGUAGUGGCUGUGUCAGUCUUGCUCUGUCCUACAGGGCUGCUGGCAAUGGGGGGGCCUGGCCCCGGCCCCUGUGAGGACCCCGCGGGUGCUGGGGUAAGAGGCUCUAGACCCUUCACCUGUCAGUCACCUGAGGGAGGCUGAGGCCAAGCCCCAUCCCUCAGAAUCAAGGCUUGCAAGCCCCCCUCACCUGCCCAGUCUCUGUCCACACCCCUCGGGCUGAAGACGGCCCUGACCAGGCCCUGGGCCUCAGCGACCACCCCUCCCCCUCCUGCCUGGAUCCAGGGAGCAGGUGCAGGGGGCUCCGAGCCCCUGGUGACUGUCACCGUGCAGUGCGCCUUCACGGUGGCCCUGAGGGCACGAAGAGGAGCCGACCUGUCCAGCCUGCGGGCACUGCUGGGCCAAGCCCUCCCUCACCAGGCCCAGCUUGGGCAACUCAGGUGGGCCAGAAAGCCCCUGGUGGCUGCGGUGGAGCUGGGCACCGCCCCGACUGAGGCAGCUGCUGGAAGAGGGGGUGGCAGAGGUCACUGCCCUCCCUGCAGGCCCCACCCAGGAGGCCCCCUCUGAGGAAUCUCUUUGCAGUUACCUAGCCCCAGGUGAGGAUGGGCACUGGGUCCCCAUCCCCGAGGAGGAGUUGCUGCAGAGGGCCUGGCAGGACGCAGCUGCCUGCCCCAGGGGGCUGCAGCUGCAGUGCAGGGGAGCCGGGGGUCGGCCGGUCCUCUACCAGGUGGUGGCCCAGCACAGCUACUCCGCCCAGGGGCCAGAGGACCUGGGCUUCCGACAGGGGGACACGGUGGACGUCCUGUGUGAAGAGCCCGAUGUCCCCCUUGCAGUGGACCAGGCAUGGCUGGAGGGCCACUGUGACGGCCGCAUCGGCAUCUUCCCCAAGUGCUUCGUGGUCCCUGCCGGCCCUCGGAUGUCAGGAGCCCCCGGCCGCCUGCCCCGAUCCCAGCAGGGAGAUCAGCCCUAACGAUGCUGUGUCCAUGAUGCUUUUAAUAAAAAC